This is a long non-coding RNA of Macrosteles quadrilineatus (aster leafhopper), 545 nucleotides long. RefSeq lists it as uncharacterized. The transcript has 3 exons. The record is from RefSeq and is a predicted model, not a curated record. Lineage: Eukaryota; Metazoa; Arthropoda; Insecta; Hemiptera; Cicadellidae.
GAUGUGAGUGAUGUAACAUCGAUCGAAUUGUGGAUGUAACAUCUAAGUUAAUGCGGUUUUGGCAUUAAUUAAGAUUUUGUGAUAGUUUUGAUACGCCAACUGUGUAAUUCGUUACAUGAUUUAGGCUAAUAAUUUGAUACCUAUCGGUUAUUUCUUGAUAGGCUAAUUUAUUGGUUAGGCAUAGGCCUAUUUAUCCUAGGCUAAUUCGUAUUUCUGCCCUAGGCCCUACACUAAUUAAACAUGGAUACAAAGGCACAAAAAGAACUGAUCAAAGUGUUGUGCCCAAGCACUUUUCAAGCCUACCAGUGGCUAAAACUCAACAGAAACAGAUGCACAGGCUAGGCCUAUACGGGCCUGUGAUGAUUGAGCCAGUACCAGUACAAUGGGGGAGUUGUAAUUAAUAUCCUCCGACAUUGGAUGAUUCAGGGGAGAGGCUGAGGCGGAAGAAUAGGUAGCAGAGGAACAGUAGAUGGGGAACGAGGCGAAGAAAAGACUAGUGUUGAAGAGAAAUAUGGCCUGAUGGCGAUGGGGGCAUGGAGGAUGAG